Molecule: ribosomal RNA, 498 nt
Filed under: uncultured bacterium
Lineage: Bacteria
Description: bacterial SSU rRNA
Rfam family: Bacterial small subunit ribosomal RNA
Source: RNAcentral
GAUCCUGGCUUAGGAUGAACGCUGGCGGCGUGCUUAACACAUGCAAGUCGAACGCUGAAGCUCCCAGCUUGCUGGGGGUGGAUGAGUGGCGAACGGGUGAGUAUCACGUGAGUAACCUGCCCUUGACUCUGGGAUAAGCCCGGGAAACUGGGUCUAAUACUGGAUAGGACUGGCCAUCGCAUGGUGGUUGGUUGAAAGCUUUUGCGGUUUUGGAUGGACUCGCGGCCUAUCAGCUUGUUGGUGGGGUAAUGGCCUACCAAGGCUUUGACGGGUAGCCGGCCUGAGAGGGUGACCGGCCACACUGGGACUGAGACACGGCCCAGACUCCUACGGGAGGCAGCAGUGGGGGAUAUUGCACAAUGGGCGCAAGCCUGAUGCAGCGACGCCGCGUGAGGGAUGACGGCCUUCGGGUUGUAAACCUCUUUCAGUUGGGAAGAAGCCUUUCGGGGUGACGGUACCUUCAGAAGAAGCACCGGCUAACUACGUGCCAGCCGCCGC